This 502-nucleotide ribosomal RNA is filed under the name uncultured bacterium. RNAcentral's name for it is "partial 16S ribosomal RNA". It matches the Rfam family "Bacterial small subunit ribosomal RNA", at positions 30 to 523 of the family's 1533-position model. The record is from RNAcentral.
AUUGAACGCUGGCGGCAUGCCUUACACAUGCAAGUCGAACGGCAGCACGGGAGCUUGCUCCUGGUGGCGAGUGGCGAACGGGUGAGUAAUACAUCGGAACGUACCCAGGAGUGGGGGAUAACGCAGCGAAAGUUACGCUAAUACCGCAUAUUCUGUGAGCAGGAAAGCGGGGGAUCGCAAGACCUCGCGCUCUUGGAGCGGCCGAUGUCGGAUUAGCUAGUUGGUGAGGUAAAAGCUCACCAAGGCGACGAUCCGUAGCAGGUCUGAGAGGAUGAUCUGCCACACUGGGGCUGAGACACGGCCCAGACUCCUACGGGAGGCAACAGUGGAGAAUUUUGGACAAUGGGGGCAACCCUGAUCCAGCCAUGCCGCGUGAGUGAAGAAGGCCUUCGGGUUGUAAAGCUCUUUCGGCGGGGAAGAAAUGGCAACGGCUAAUAUCCGUUGUUGAUGACGGUACCCGCAUAAGAAGCACCGGCUAACUACGUGCCAGCAGCCGCCGCCG